AGCAACCAGAGGCAGGAAAGGAAAAAUGGGAAGGUUUUCUCAGAGUUAACUUUCUCUAACCUUGAAGCCGAAUCCAGGGGCAGGAGCAGGAGUCAACUCUGAGAAGACGUGAUAGAGCUUCAGCAACAUGGAGAGGAGAUAGCCGGUCUGGCUAGGAUGGAAGAAAUGUACAUGGAGAAGAAAGACAGAAGAACCAUCACUGAGCACUAAACUAAUCAGCCAUAAUGUGCAGAUUGACUGGCAAGCCUAUCACCACCUUGAUAACAGAUGACAUUAAAGAGAAAGUAUCAAUGUGAGGAUUAAAUGGGAUGAAAAAUAAAACAUCUGUCGGAGUGCCUGGAAUAUGAGCCUAGUAGAGCACCCAGCACACAGUAGGCUCUUAAUACAUGCUUGGGAUGAUUGAGGCAUUUUCUUCCACCAUAUUCCAUGAUCUUCUAGCCCUGGGGGUGCAGAGAGAUUACCUGGCCAAGAAGACUAGGGGUAAAGUACUUUUCUUACCUGGUACACAAAUAUCCAAGAUUGGAAAGAAGAAAGAAAAUGACGACAGAAUUUUGCAGUCUACAAGGCAAACACUGCCAUUCAUGUAGUUAUGGAGUUCCUACUAUGUGCAGACAAUGGGAAACUUUACGAAGGAACCUCGACGUAGCCUGUUCCCAAUGCCCUCUGUGGAAUCAGCCAGGUCCAUGCCACAAGUAUGAAUUGUUUCCAGUGCGGCAGUCCUGGGAGUGCCUGAGCCACAAGCCAGUGUCCCCUACUCAGUUGUGCCCUGUGGGGACUGAAGCAGGACUAUAUUCUCACAGGCUCUCCUAAAAGCUGGGCUGCCAGCUUCUAGCUCUACUCCUUUCUCAAAGUGGCCCAGGCCAUCUCUCAGACCAAGGUGGAUGGAGCAGCAUCAGCCAUGGCUCAGGAAUGCAGCCGCCUACUUUCCUGUUAUCAGCAGGCAUUCCUGUGGUUACACUAUUCCUGCUUAGCUUAUCAAUGGCCCUUGGGAACACAGAGUCAGCACCCAAAGAGGGCCAGAACAGCCUGCUUGUUGGACGCCCAUCCACACCAUGAGGCUUUCCUGGAUGUAGAGGGAAGUUACUGUUCCUCGGGAAAACCCCUCUUCCCAGCUGGGUUUUAAAAAGCAGCAGGUUUAAGAGCUGACCAUAUCUGAAAGACUCUAGAAUAGCAGAGGAUUGAUUAAAGGUCUGUGGCCACAGA
Molecule: long non-coding RNA, 1203 nt
Filed under: Homo sapiens (human)
Lineage: Eukaryota; Metazoa; Chordata; Mammalia; Primates; Hominidae
Description: HSALNT0322863
Source: RNAcentral